Molecule: non-coding RNA, 3683 nt
Organism: Nicotiana tabacum (common tobacco)
Lineage: Eukaryota; Viridiplantae; Streptophyta; Magnoliopsida; Solanales; Solanaceae
Source: RefSeq, a predicted model, not a curated record
CUACAUCGUAUUGGUCUUCGGUGUACAAUCAGUCCAGAGGAUAGAUGUUUCUCUUCACUAAGUUCACCGUCGAUAUAUAUAAAUGCGGUGUCUCGUUUCCCCCCUUUCAAAACUCUCUAUUUUCAACUGAUUGAACUCACGACUGUCCUAUACAUACAAAAAGGGUCUUAGGGUUCGUACGCGUAGCGCGGGAUUUCGAUAUCUAGAAGAAGUUAACAAGAUGAGUAUAUGGAACUAUGUGGUUACGGCUCACAAGCCAACGAACGCUACACAUUCCUGUGUUGGCAAUUUCACCGCUCCUCACGAGCUCAAUCUUAUCAUUGCGAAAUGUACUCGAAUCGAGAUUCAUUUACUCACUCCCCAAGGCUUACAGCCUAUGUUAGAUGUGCCAAUAUAUGGGAGAAUCGCGACACUCGAGCUUUUCCGUCCCCACGGUGAAACACAAGAUUUUCUCUUCAUUGCGACGGAGCGAUAUAAAUUCUGUGUCCUUCAAUGGGAUGCUGAGGCAUCUGAAGUUAUCACAAGAGCAAUGGGAGAUGUCUCAGAUCGAAUAGGCCGUCCCACCGAUAACGGUCAGAUUGGUAUAAUCGACCCAGACUGCAGAUUGAUCGGGUUGCAUCUUUAUGAUGGACUAUUUAAGGUUAUUCCAUUUGAUAACAAAGGCCAACUGAAGGAAGCCUUUAACAUCAGGCUUGAGGAGCUUCAAGUUUUGGAUAUUAAAUUCUUAUAUGGUUGCCCAAAGCCUACAAUUGUUGUUCUAUAUCAGGAUAACAAGGACGCCCGACAUGUCAAAACGUAUGAGGUGUCGUUGAAGGAUAAAGAUUUUAUUGAAGGGCCAUGGGCUCAAAAUAAUCUCGAUAAUGGAGCUUCUUUGCUAAUACCAGUACCUCCGCCACUGUGUGGUGUACUGAUUAUUGGAGAAGAAACCAUAGUUUACUGUAGCGCUUCAGCUUUUAAGGCUAUCCCAAUUAGACCUUCCAUCACAAGAGCAUAUGGGCGGGUUGAUGCUGAUGGUUCUCGAUAUUUGCUUGGGGAUCACAAUGGGCUUCUUCAGCUACUUGUAAUCACUCAUGAAAAGGAAAAAGUUACCGGACUCAAAAUUGAGCUACUGGGAGAAACUUCUAUUGCAUCAACCAUAUCAUACCUAGACAAUGCUUUUGUCUUCAUUGGGUCAAGCUAUGGAGAUUCACAGCUCGUAAAGCUCAAUCUCCAGCCCGAUGCCAAAGGUUCUUAUGUGGAAGUUCUAGAGAGAUAUGUCAAUUUGGGACCAAUUGUGGACUUCUGUGUUGUUGACCUGGAGAGGCAAGGUCAAGGUCAGGUCGUGACUUGCUCUGGAGCCUAUAAGGAUGGCUCACUUCGUAUUGUUCGAAAUGGAAUUGGAAUAAAUGAACAGGCGUCUGUGGAACUACAAGGGAUCAAAGGAAUGUGGUCUCUUAGAUCAGCUACUGAUGAUCCGUAUGACACAUUCUUGGUUGUUAGCUUCAUUAGCGAGACACGUGUUUUAGCUAUGAACCUUGAGGAUGAGCUGGAAGAAACUGAGAUAGAAGGCUUCAAUUCUCAAGUCCAGACCUUGUUUUGUCAUGAUGCGAUAUACAACCAGCUUGUACAGGUUACUUCUAACUCUGUAAGAUUGGUCAGCUCUAUCUCUAGAGAUCUGAAAAACGAAUGGUUUGCUCCAGCCGGCUACUCAGUCAAUGUUGCAACUGCUAAUGCCACUCAGGUACUGUUGGCAACUGGGGGUGGCCAUCUGGUCUACCUAGAAAUUGGUGAUGGGGUGCUAAAUGAAGUAAAAUAUGCCAAGUUGGAUUAUGAUAUCUCAUGCCUGGACAUAAAUCCAAUUGGUGAGAAUCCAAACUAUAGUCAAAUUGCAGCAGUUGGAAUGUGGACAGACAUAAGUGUCAGGAUAUAUUCACUUCCCGACUUGAAUCUCAUUACAAAGGAACAGCUAGGAGGGGAGAUAAUUCCUCGUUCAGUUCUUAUGUGUUCCUUCGAAGGGAUAUCUUAUCUACUAUGUGCUUUGGGAGAUGGUCAUCUCUUGAAUUAUGUAUUGAGCAUGAGUACUGGUGAGCUGACAGACAGGAAAAAAGUGUCUCUUGGAACCCAGCCCAUAACACUUCGUACAUUCUCAUCUAAAGAUGCUACGCACGUCUUUGCUGCCUCCGAUAGGCCCACAGUUAUUUACAGCAGUAACAAGAAGCUGCUUUAUAGCAAUGUAAAUCUAAAAGAAGUUAGUCACAUGUGCCCAUUCAAUGUUGCAGCUUUUCCAGACAGCCUCGCAAUUGCAAAAGAAGGAGAGUUAACAAUUGGCACUAUUGAUGAAAUUCAAAAGCUUCACAUCCGUUCAAUACCCCUCGGGGAGCAUGCACGGCGGAUCAGCCAUCAAGAGCAGACCAGGACAUUUGCUCUAUGCAGCGUCAAGUAUACUCAGUCGAAUGCAGAUGAUCCUGAAGUGCAUUUUGUCCGCCUGUUAGAUGAUCAGACAUUUGAGUUCAUAUCAACUUACCCCCUUGACCAAUUUGAAUAUGGUUGUUCCAUACUUAGCUGCUCCUUUUCUGAUGACAGUAAUGUGUAUUAUUGCGUUGGCACUGCUUAUGUGAUGCCAGAGGAAAAUGAACCUACCAAGGUAAGUUUCAUUGAUAAAAGUUUCUCUAAUUGUAAUUGUUGCUUAGAUCCUGUGAUUUGUGAUGAACUAUCGAUUUGUGUAGAUUUUGGGUUUUGAGCCAUAUUGUUUUCCUCAAAUUCAUCUGAUACAUACCUAUUGGUUGAACUUUAUCAUCUUUCCAUCACCAUGCCCACUUUUUCUGGCUCUUCUUUUUUGCAAAUUACGAUCUUGAUANAAUGUGGACACCAUGGUCAUAUAUUGGCUCUUUAUGUUCAAACACGUGGGGAUUUUAUUGUCGUUGGUGAUUUGAUGAAGUCCAUUUCUCUACUGAUUUUCAAGCACGAGGAGGGUGCUAUAGAGGAGCGAGCCCGGGACUAUAAUGCAAAUUGGAUGUCAGCUGUCGAGAUUCUCGACGAUGACAUUUAUCUUGGUUCGGAGAACAACUUUAACCUUUUCACGGUCAGGAAAAAUAGUGAGGGUGCUACAGAUGAAGAGCGCAGCCGUCUUGAAGUGGUUGGUGAAUACCACCUUGGUGAAUUUGUUAAUAGGUUUAGACACGGUUCACUUGUCAUGCGAUUGCCAGAUUCAGAUGUUGGCCAGAUACCUACCGUUAUAUUUGGCACAGUGAAUGGUGUUAUUGGGGUCAUUGCCUCGCUUCCUCAUGAUCAGUAUUUAUUUUUGGAAAAGCUGCAGACAAGCUUAAGGAAAGUGAUAAAGGGUGUAGGCGGACUGAGCCAUGAGCAGUGGAGGUCGUUUUACAAUGAGAAGAAAACUGUAGAAGCUAAAAACUUUCUUGACGGAGAUUUGAUUGAAUCAUUCCUAGAUCUUAGCAGGAGCCGGAUGGAAGAUAUUUCUAAAGCAAUGGCAGUUCCUGUUGAGGAACUAAUGAAGAGAGUGGAAGAGUUGACAAGGUUGCAUUAGUUAUUUUUUAAUGGUCUUCCUCUUCCCCAGCGUGUAAUAUUUCACAUUUCAACUUCUCUGCUAAGCGAACCAUAUUAUUGAGUUAUGGUUUUUUUAUGAGAUUUUCAUAAAACACUAUCUUUUAGUGGUAAUUAGCUAUCUAUAGAUACCAUUUGCUAUA